CAACAAACUGCAGACACAGACAGCAGACACAGCAAGUUGAUAAAACAUAUUUAGUGCUUGACGGGUUUAACUGGAUCCGGAUCAAGGUGGAAAAAACAAAAUAGACACUGGCCUUUUCAACGGUCUGAAACCGGUCAACAACCACCACGCAGCGGUUCUCGUUUGGUCACAGAAACUUGGAGCAAACAGCAGCUAAUGUCGAGGCUGGAGGAAGGACGAAGGCAGAAGGCAAGUAUCAAACUGAAGCUUAGUAGUAUUAGCUUUAUUUACCACCAUGCCUCUGACUUUACUCAGUCGACAAAAGCAAACCGCUAGCAGCAAGUGAAAUGGCAUGAUUUCUGGCUAGGAUAGGAAGCUGGAUUUUAUGGAACGUGUCAAAAUGUCAAAGUCUUCUUUCUAUGCAGACUGCUCCUACUCCUCCACUUGCAGGUGUCGCUAGUGAGACAUUUUAAGUGGAUUUUCUUCCAAAGAAGAGACAACACAUUUUAGUUUUAUAAAUGAUACUGAGAUUUGGUAAUGGUUUAUUACAAUAAUACUGAAAUACAAUACUGAGAAAUAUAGCAAGACAGAGCAUGAAAUGUUGGAAGCCUGAGCAGAAACUAGAUUAUUAUUAUUAUAGAAAACAUUAGCUGUUAUUAUUUAAUAACAGCUAAUAACAGCUAAUGUUCUCUGUCCUCUCUUCAGGUGGUUACAGCUCAGAAACUGCAACUUCACCACGAUCAACAAGUAGGUCAAGUAUGGACACCACACCUCGUCAACUGUCUGGAUAGAGACAGACUGAUUUUUGAUUAUUGCUGUAAUAAUGGUUACCUGCUACAGUUGAAUAAAAAUAGGGAGAAUGGGAAAUUGUAGCUGUUCUUGUUCAGCUUGGUCUCAUUUUUUAUUCUCACUCAUUUUUUUGGACAUGUUUUGAAAAGAUCAAAUUGUUGUUGUAUACUGUUAUGUUACAUCUAAUAUAGUGAUAUAUAGCCUUUUUUU
Mugil cephalus (flathead mullet) is the source of this 978-nucleotide long non-coding RNA. RefSeq lists it as uncharacterized. The record is from RefSeq and is a predicted model, not a curated record. Lineage: Eukaryota; Metazoa; Chordata; Actinopteri; Mugiliformes; Mugilidae. The transcript has 2 exons.